AUGGAAAAAUCCAAUUCGACUUCGCCUGCAUAUUCAAAGGAAAAUCCAAUUCUAAACAAAAUCCAUACUUGUUGCAGAGUUAGGAUGGUUACCUAUUACAAAAUUCCAAACCCAAUUUAUUCAUGUAACAGAAAAACAGAAAUUCAGUUUUCAUAUAAAGGAAAAUUUCAGAAUAAAUCAGGAAAUUGUGGAAACAAAAAUAACAGCUCAGCAAGCUUUCAUCAGAUCAAUUGGAAUCAAUCUCGGCCUUACAAAUCUCAGGAAGCUAUCUGA
Vicia faba (fava bean) is the source of this 273-nucleotide non-coding RNA. Lineage: Eukaryota; Viridiplantae; Streptophyta; Magnoliopsida; Fabales; Fabaceae. The record is from the annotation of a GenBank genome assembly.